Molecule: long non-coding RNA, 664 nt
Filed under: Glycine max (soybean)
Lineage: Eukaryota; Viridiplantae; Streptophyta; Magnoliopsida; Fabales; Fabaceae
Description: long non-coding RNA (GMAX_LNC002768)
Source: RNAcentral
GUGAAACCACCGGUUCACAAACCACCAAAACCAUGUCCACCACCCAAGUCAUCUCCAAAACCACCCCAUGUACACCCUCCCUAUGUUCCAAAACCUCCUCACUACCCUAAACCACCAGUUCAUCCACAUCCACCCCAUGUCCCAAAACCUCAUCCAAAGCCUCCAGUGCAUCCCCAUCCACCUUAUGUCCCAAAACCACCAGUUGUGCCAGUUACACCACCAUAUGUUCCAAAACCACCAAUUGUGAACCCUCCCUAUGUCCCAAAACCGCCUGUUGUGCCAGUUACACCACCUUAUAUCCCUAAACCACCAGUUGUGACACCACCAUAUGUCCCUAAACCACCAGUGGUGCCAGUUACACCACCAUAUGUCCCUAAACCACCAGUGGUGCCAGUUACACCACCUUAUGUGCCAAAACCACCCAUUGUGAAACCACCAAUUGUUUAUCCACCAGUUGUGCCAAAACCACCAAUUGUUACACCACCUUAUGUGCCAAAACCACCCAUUGUGAAACCACCAAUUGUUUAUCCACCAGUUGUGCCAAAACCACCAAUUGUUACACCACCUUAUGUGCCAAAACCACCCAUUGUGAAACCACCAAUUGUUUAUCCACCAGUUGUGCCAACACCACCUAUUGUGUAUCCACCUGUUGUACCAACUCCAC